AAUUAAAAAAAUCCUUUAAUAUACCUCUCUACCGCACGUGCGGUAGAGGAGGUAUAGGCUGCUAUAUCCUUUUGGUCAUGUUUUCUAUGUAUCUGCUGCUCCGCCCAUAACAGAGCCUAUACCUCUGCUAAUCGCACAAUUUUCAAUGUGCGAUUAGUGCCAUUACUAUGGGCGGGCAGCAGGGGGAGCACUGUUUUUUAAACGUGUGUUAUCCCUCCAUAUUGUGGAUCACAGUGGCAGCGGCAGAACAGGAAGAAGCAGGAGACUGGGCUGAUUGAUCUAACUAGUUAUAAUUGGGAAACUGCAGCCCUUGUCCUGAAUAGAUCCGAACUGCACCCUGGAUGGUUCUGAAGAGGUCCACAUAAGAAUCAUAAACAUUGUAGCCCAAAGUCACAUUGGGCAGGAUGUUGGGGUUACGGUUGAUCUCAUCAAUGGCAAACACUAAACUCAGGAAGUUAUAAAAGUCUUCAGUGAGCAUGCUGGAAAAAAGAAAGGAAAAACUGAUGUUAAAAGACAUCUCAACACUAAACAUCCAUAGCUUUCAAAGUUUCCAUUUUUAUUAUGUCCUACUAUAAAAAUAUAUAUUGCAAUUGAAUUUGAAUAUAGUCAAUGUAAUGUAAACUGUAACGAAGCUUUGAAUAAAAGUAAGUUGUUUUAUA
Molecule: long non-coding RNA, 659 nt
Organism: Bombina bombina (fire-bellied toad)
Lineage: Eukaryota; Metazoa; Chordata; Amphibia; Anura; Bombinatoridae
Exons: 2
Source: RefSeq, a predicted model, not a curated record